Molecule: unclassified non-coding RNA, 329 nt
Filed under: soil metagenome
Description: partial contains 5.8S ribosomal RNA, internal transcribed spacer 2, and large subunit ribosomal RNA
Rfam family: 5.8S ribosomal RNA (bases 1-120)
Source: RNAcentral
GAUGAAGAACGCAGCGAAAUGCGAUAAGUAAUGUGAAUUGCAGAAUUCAGUGAAUCAUCGAAUCUUUGAACGCACAUUGUGCCCCCUGGUAUUCCGGGGGGCAUGCCUGUCCGAGCGUCAUUACAACCCUCAAGCUCAGCUUGGUGUUGGGCCCCGCCGCCCCGGCGGGCCCUAAAGUCAGUGGCGGUGCCGUCCGGCUCCGAGCGUAGUAAUUCUUCUCGCUCUGGAGGUCCGGUCGUGUGCUCGCCAGCAACCCCCAAUUUUUUUCAGGUUGACCUCGGAUCAGGUAGGGAUACCCUCUGAACUUAAGCAUAUCAAUAAGCGGAGGA